Molecule: ribosomal RNA, 182 nt
Filed under: uncultured bacterium
Lineage: Bacteria
Description: partial 16S ribosomal RNA
Rfam family: Bacterial small subunit ribosomal RNA
Source: RNAcentral
GUAUGAAGUUGGAAUCGCUAGUAAUCGCGGAUCAGCAUGCCGCGGUGAAUACGUUCCCGGGCCUUGUACACACCGCCCGUCACACCAUGAGAGUCGGGAACACCCGAAGUCCGUAGCCUAACCGCAAGGGGGCGCGGCCGAAGGUGGGUUCGAUAAUUGGGGUGAAGUCGUAACAAGGUAUC